Molecule: ribosomal RNA, 287 nt
Filed under: uncultured bacterium
Lineage: Bacteria
Description: partial 16S ribosomal RNA
Rfam family: Archaeal small subunit ribosomal RNA
Source: RNAcentral
UCCGCCGCGGUAAUACCGGCAGCCCAAGUGAUGGCCGAUCUUAUUGGGCCUAAAGCGUCCGUAGCUGGCUGCGCAAGUCCGUCGGGAAAUCCACUCGCCCAACGAGUGGGCGUCCGACGGAAACUGCACAGCUUGGGACCGGAAGGCUCGAAGGGUACGUUCGGGGUAGGAGUGAAAUCCUAUAAUCCCGCACGGACCACCGAUGGCGAAAGCACUUCGAGAAAACGGAUCCGACAGUGAGGGACGAAAGCCAGGGUCUCCAACCGGAUUAGAAACUCUGGUAGUCC